UACGUAGGGUGCGAGCGUUAAUCGGAAUUACUGGGCGUAAAGCGUGCGCAGGCGGUUCGUCGUGUCUCGUGUGAAAGCCCCGGGCUCAACCUGGGAAUGGCAUGGGAAACUGGCGAACUGGAGUGUGGCAGAGGGGGGUGGAAUUCCGCGUGUAGCAGUGAAAUGCGUAGAGAUGCGGAGGAACACCGAUGGCGAAGGCAGCCCCCUGGGCUGACACUGACGCUCAGGCACGAAAGCGUGGGGAGCAAACAGG
Molecule: ribosomal RNA, 253 nt
Filed under: uncultured bacterium
Lineage: Bacteria
Description: partial 16S ribosomal RNA
Rfam family: Bacterial small subunit ribosomal RNA
Source: RNAcentral